GGGGGUAUAGCUCAGUGGUAGAGCAUGUGCUUGGCAUGCACAAGGUCUUGGGUUUAAUCCCCAGUGCCUCAU
RNAcentral lists this transfer RNA (72 nucleotides) under Camelus bactrianus (Bactrian camel). It matches the Rfam family "tRNA". Rfam says of the family: Transfer RNA (tRNA) molecules are approximately 80 nucleotides in length. Their secondary structure includes four short double-helical elements and three loops (D, anti-codon, and T loops). RNAcentral also lists the same sequence under 2 other names. The record is from Rfam by way of RNAcentral. Lineage: Eukaryota; Metazoa; Chordata; Mammalia; Artiodactyla; Camelidae.